CUGUUGGUUUAUUUAUCGGUAGAGCAGCAGAACAUUUUCCACAGACAGUUUUCCUGCCUGUUGGCUUGUUUUAACCAGUUUUCUGCCUUCGGCUGAUUCUACCAGCAGACACUGAAAGGACUCUGAUAGUUCGCCGCCAGGAGCUGGGUCUUUAAAAUAACCGCCGUCUCGUUACAGAGUGAAAGUAGCAGUUCCUCCUUAAGGUCAGAGAUUGCAGCAUCUGAGGGCCUCUUCAAAAGGAGACGUAGUUGAUGAAGACGUUCUGGAGCAGGACCAGAAAGACCACGACCAAGCAGCCUUGAGAUCUUAGGCAGCGUCUCCCUCAGGUCCCUCUCUAUCUCCCUACACAUCCACCAACCACUGGAACACAUCUCCAAAGUUCUGCCGGGCCAGCUCAGCUUCCCCUCAGAAGAAGUGCUGCCACCUGCCAGAUGAAGGAGCCUUUUGAGAGGCA
Molecule: long non-coding RNA, 454 nt
Organism: Amphiprion ocellaris (clown anemonefish)
Lineage: Eukaryota; Metazoa; Chordata; Actinopteri; Pomacentridae
Source: Ensembl